CCAAAGGCCCUUUUCAGGGCCGCCCACAGCUUCCAUAAAAGAGCU
Loxodonta africana (African savanna elephant) is the source of this 45-nucleotide non-coding RNA. Lineage: Eukaryota; Metazoa; Chordata; Mammalia; Proboscidea; Elephantidae. The record is from Rfam.